AGAGUUUGAUCAUGGCUCAGGACGAACGCUGGCGGCGUGCCUAACACAUGCAAGUCGAGCGGGGUGGUUCUGAAGGGCAACCGGAGGGAUCACCUAGCGGCGAACGGGUGAGUAACGCGUGGAUAACCUACCUCAAGGUCUGGGAUAACAGCUCGAAAGGGCUGCUAAUACCGGAUGUGGUGCAUAUGCUGCAUGGUAGAUGCACUAAAGGGGAAACCCGCCAUGAGAUGGGUCCGCGUCCCAUCAGCUAGUUGGUGGGGUAAAGGCCUACCAAGGCGACGACGGGUAGCCGGCCUGAGAGGGUGACCGGCCACACUGGGACUGAGACACGGCCCAGACUCNUACGGGGGGCAGCAGUGGGGAAUAUUGCACAAUGGGCGAAAGCCUGAUGCAGCGACGCCGCGUGGGCGAAGAAGGCCUUCGGGUUGUAAAGCCCUGUCUGGAGGGACGAAGUAAUGACGGUACCUCCGGAGGAAGCCACGGCUAACUACGUGCCAGCAGCCGCGGUAAU
Molecule: ribosomal RNA, 511 nt
Filed under: uncultured bacterium
Lineage: Bacteria
Description: bacterial SSU rRNA
Rfam family: Bacterial small subunit ribosomal RNA
Source: RNAcentral